RNAcentral lists this ribosomal RNA (440 nucleotides) under uncultured bacterium. RNAcentral's name for it is "partial 16S ribosomal RNA". It matches the Rfam family "Bacterial small subunit ribosomal RNA", at positions 338 to 795 of the family's 1533-position model. The record is from RNAcentral.
CCUACGGGUGGCAGCAGUAGGGAAUAUUGCUCAAUGGGGGAAACCCUGAAGCAGCAACGCCGCGUGGAGGAUGAAGGUUUUCGGAUUGUAAACUCCUUUUGUUAGAGAAGAUAAUGACGGUAUCUAACGAAUAAGCACCGGCUAACUCCGUGCCAGCAGCCGCGGUAAUACGGAGGGUGCAAGUGUUACUCGGAAUCACUGGGCGUAAAGAGCGAGUAGGCGGGAUAGCAAGUCAGAUGUGAAAUCCUAUGGCUUAACCAUAGAACUGCAUUUGAAACUGUUAUUCUAGAGUAUGGGAGAGGUAGGUGGAAUUCUGGGUGUAGGGGUAAAAUGCGUAGAGAUCAAGAGGAAUACUCAUGGCGAAGGCGACCUGCUAGAACAUAACUGACGCUGAGGCGCGAAAGCGUGGGGAGCAAACAGGAUUAGAUACCCUUGUAGUC